GAUGCUAUAAUAUAUGGUACUUUGGCCGGUUCUCUCAUCUAAGGUCUCAAGACGAACACCAUUGUUCUGAGACACAAUCUUCUUUUCCUUUGCAGCAGUAUAAAAUAGAUAUCCAUUAAUAUCAUAACCUUGCCAUGACGUGACCUGGCUAGACGGGCUAGCUGCCAAUCUUUUGAUCAUUUGAUCUUCCAUGGUUUCCCCAUCUAGUUGAUUUAGGUCCUUUAACCAUGCGGUCAAAUGACACUUGUGCUCCCUCGUGAUCCAAUCUUCCGAGCGGCCCUUACUUUGAGCACGAAUCACACUCAAGUGUUGACAGACUAAAGAUGACAUUAUUGUGAGGUAUUGCAUGAUGCUAUAAUGGGCUUAUUGCACAUCUUUGAAGUCCUUGUCGAUGAAGGUUUUCCUUCCUACUAUGCCGAUCCCUUCCAACUUCCCCAUAAAUUGUGCAAUAGGCAAACCAAUUCGUAGUUUACCCUUUAGGUAACCUAGACAAGACUCGAUGAUUUCCUCUAUAUUGUAUCCCUCUAUCAUGGAUCCCUCAGGAUAAGCACGAUUCAGAACGUACCGGUUAAGAACUGACAUGAAAUGCUCAUACGUCCACAUUUCGUGUCAGUAAAGUGGACCCAGUGUUCGUAUCUGAUCGACCAUGUGAAUCAUGAGAUGUUCUGUAAUAUCGAAAAAUCCCGAAGGGAAGCACAUCUCCAAAUGCACCAUAGACUCCCCAAUAAAUUCUUGGAGGUGUUUCAAUUCAUCUUCAUUGAUAACCUUUUGAGAAAUUUUGUUGAAGAAGUAACACAACCAAGUGAUAACCAUCUUCACAUAUACAGGCUUGAUCACUCUAAUUGCAAUUCGAAGGAACAACAUCAGCAUCACAUGAUAAUCAUGACAGUUGUAGCCGGAUAGCGAGAGAUCUUUCAUCAAGACUAGUUUCCUAAUGUUGAAUGAGAAUCGACUUAGUACUCUAAUCCCCCAUAACGACUGGCACACUACCUUCUUCUCAUCUAGUGUCAAGUUGUAGCUAGCUGGGGGUAGUUCAUAUAUUCCAUUCCCCUUAUUGAUAGGGUGAAGGUCUUG
Molecule: long non-coding RNA, 1074 nt
Filed under: Setaria viridis
Lineage: Eukaryota; Viridiplantae; Streptophyta; Magnoliopsida; Poales; Poaceae
Description: long non-coding RNA (SVIR_LNC001470)
Source: RNAcentral